GUGGAUGUAGUAUAGUCGGUCAGUAUCCCCGCCUGUCACGCGGGAGACCCGGGUUCGAAUCCCGGCGUCCGCG
RNAcentral lists this transfer RNA (73 nucleotides) under Chloropicon primus. Its description in RNAcentral is "tRNA-Asp (GTC) (tRNA-Asp-GTC-1-1)". It matches the Rfam family "tRNA". Rfam says of the family: Transfer RNA (tRNA) molecules are approximately 80 nucleotides in length. Lineage: Eukaryota; Viridiplantae; Chlorophyta; Chloropicophyceae; Chloropicales; Chloropicaceae. The record is from Rfam by way of RNAcentral.